RNAcentral lists this transfer RNA (75 nucleotides) under Planctomycetota bacterium. RNAcentral's name for it is "Planctomycetes bacterium tRNA-Gly". It matches the Rfam family "tRNA". Rfam says of the family: Transfer RNA (tRNA) molecules are approximately 80 nucleotides in length. Their secondary structure includes four short double-helical elements and three loops (D, anti-codon, and T loops). The record is from RNAcentral. Lineage: Bacteria; Pseudomonadati; Planctomycetota.
GUGUCUCUGGCCGAGAGGCAAAGGCAUCGGGCUUCCACCCCGAAUAGGCGGGUUCAAUUCCCGCGAGACACUUCA